UAUAGGAGGUCCAGCCUGCCCAGUGACUACAAGUUCAACGGCCGCGGUAUUUUGACCGUGCAAAGGUAGCGCAAUCACUUGUCUUUUAAAUAGAGACCUGUAUGAAUGGCUAAACGAGGGCUUAACUGUCUCCCCUUUCAAGUCAGUGAAAUUGAUCUACCCGUGCAGAAGCGGGUGUAAUUAUACAAGACGAGAAGACCCUUUGGAGCUUAAGGUACAAAACUCAACCACGUUAAGCAACUUAAUAAAAAGCAAAAACUUUAUGGAAUAUGAUAUUUUACCUUCGGUUGGGGCGACCACGGAAGAAAAAAAAUCCUCCGAGUGGACCGGGACAAACCUCCUAAAACCAAGAGACACACCUCUAAGCCACAGAACAUCUGACCAAACAUGAUCCGGCCAUAAAAGCCGAUCAACGAACCAAGUUACCCUAGGGAUAACAGCGCAAUCCUCUCCCAGAGUCCAUAUCGACGAGGGGGUUUACGACCUCGAUGUUGGAUCAGGACAUCCUAAUGGUGCAGCCGCUAUUAAGGGUUCGUUUGUUCAACGAUUAAAGUCCUACGUGA
This 563-nucleotide ribosomal RNA is filed under the name Capoeta aculeata. RNAcentral describes it as "partial 16S ribosomal RNA". It matches the Rfam family "Bacterial large subunit ribosomal RNA", at positions 1844 to 2603 of the family's 2925-position model. Lineage: Eukaryota; Metazoa; Chordata; Actinopteri; Cypriniformes; Cyprinidae. The record is from RNAcentral.